Molecule: long non-coding RNA, 437 nt
Organism: Symphalangus syndactylus (siamang)
Lineage: Eukaryota; Metazoa; Chordata; Mammalia; Primates; Hylobatidae
Source: RefSeq, a predicted model, not a curated record
AUAACCUGCAUUUUCAGUGUGUGAAACCGCAUGGAAAGUUUACAUUCAUUUUUUGGUAUGGAACUUGUAGGUAAAAAAGAAAAAAAUGUUUCCUGUUUUUACCUAAGAAAUCACCAUUAGACUCCAUAAAGCACUAUUCCUCUGGGAACUACCGAGGUCUCUAGAAGAUAACGGAUAGAACGAGGGGAAGAACUACAAGGAAAAAAAAGUGGAUAGCAAAGAAAAAAUACGCCACAGAACUUUCCAGGUCAAAAACCCUAAAAGUGAACAAGAAAAAUAAAAGAAACAGGAAGAAAUAAAAGAAAAUCUGCCUUUAGGUUAACCCAAGAAUCAUCUUUGUACUUCUGCAGAAAUUAUAAAAAUAAUAAUUAUUACAGGUCUCGCUCCAUUGACCAGGCUGGAGUGCAGUGGCGUGAUCUUGGCUCACUGCAACCUCC